This 433-nucleotide ribosomal RNA is filed under the name uncultured bacterium. Its description in RNAcentral is "partial 16S ribosomal RNA". It matches the Rfam family "Bacterial small subunit ribosomal RNA", at positions 29 to 507 of the family's 1533-position model. The record is from RNAcentral.
AACGAACGCUGGCGGCAUGCCUAACACAUGCAAGUCGAACGAGACCUUCGGGUCUAGUGGCGCACGGGUGCGUAACGCGUGGGAACCUGCCCUUAGGUUCGGAAUAACUCCCCGAAAGGGGUGCUAAUACCGGAUAAUUUCUUCGGACCAAAGAUUUAUCGCCGUAGGAUGGGCCCGCGUUGGAUUAGCUGGUUGGUAGGGUAAAAGCCUACCAAGGCGACGAUCCAUAGCUGGUCAGAGAGGAAGAGCAGCCACACUGGGACUGGGACGCGGCCCGGACUACUAGGGGAGGCAGCAAUGGGGAAUAUUGGAAAAUGGGGUAAGUGCUGAACCAGCAAGGCCGCGUGAGUGAUGAAGUCGGUAGGGUAGUAAAGCUCUUUAACCCGCGGUGGUAAUGACGGUACCGGAAGAAUAAGCACCGGCUAACUCCGUG